AACGAACGCUGGCGGCAUGCCUAACACAUGCCAGUCGAACGAGACCUUCGGGUCUAGUGGCGCACGGGUGCGUAACGCGUGGGAACCUGCCCUUAGGUUCGGAAUAACUCCCCGAAAGGGGUGCUAAUACCGGAUAAUGUCUUCGGACCAAAGAUUUAUCGCCUUUGGAUGGGCCCGCGUUGGGUUAGCUAGUUGGUAGGGUAAAAGCCUACCAAGGCGACGAUCCAUAGCUGGUCUGAGAGGAUGAUCAGCCACACUGGGACUGAGACACGGCCCAGACUCCUACGGGAGGCAGCAGUGGGGAAUAUUGGACAAUGGGCGAAAGCCUGAUCCAGCAAUGCCGCGUGAGUGAUGAAGGCCUUAGGGUUGUAAAGCUCUUUUACCCGGGAUGAUAAUGACAGUACCGGGAGAAUAAGCUCCGGCUAACUCCGUG
RNAcentral lists this ribosomal RNA (433 nucleotides) under uncultured bacterium. Its description in RNAcentral is "partial 16S ribosomal RNA". It matches the Rfam family "Bacterial small subunit ribosomal RNA", at positions 29 to 507 of the family's 1533-position model. The record is from RNAcentral.